GCGAAAUUCCUUGUCGGGUAAGUUCCGACCUGCACGAAUGGUGUAACGAUGGCCACGCUGUCUCCACCCAAGACUCAGUGAAAUUGAAAUCGCAGUUAAGAUGCUGUGUAUCCGCGGCUAGACGGAAAGACCCCGUGAACCUUUACUAUAGCUUCACACUGGACUUUGACCUUAUUUGUGUAGGAUAGGUGGGAGACUUUGAAGCGUGAUCGCCAGAUUGCGUGGAGUCAUCCUUGAAAUACCACCCUGGUAAUGUUGAGGUUCUAACUUAGCUCCUGAAACGGGAGUGAGGACAGUGUGUGGUGGGUAGUUUGACUGGGGCGGUCUCCUCCUAAAGAGUAACGGAGGAGCACGAAGGUACCCUAAGAGCGGUCGGAAAUCGCUCGUUUAGUGUAAUGGCAUAAGGGUGCUUGACUGCGAGAGUGACAACUCGAGCAGGUGCGAAAGCAGGUCAUAGUGAUCCGGUGGUUCUGAAUGGAA
This 480-nucleotide ribosomal RNA is filed under the name Pteridomonas danica. RNAcentral's name for it is "partial Bacterial large subunit ribosomal RNA". It matches the Rfam family "Bacterial large subunit ribosomal RNA", at positions 1959 to 2438 of the family's 2925-position model. Lineage: Eukaryota; Dictyochophyceae; Pedinellales. The record is from RNAcentral.